UACCAGCUCUCCGAGUGGUGUGGAUGUUUAUUGGGCCUAAAGCAUCCGUAGCUGGCUGGACAAGUCCCCUGUUAAAUCCACCGAUUUAAUCGUUGGUGUGCGGGGGAUACUGCUCGGCUAGGGGACGGGAGAGGCCGACGGUAUUUCCGGGGUAGGGAUGAAAUCCUAUAAUCCCGGGAAGACCACCAGUGGCGAAGGCUGUCGGCUAGAACGCGCCCGACGGUGAGGGAUGAAAGCUGGGGGAGCGAACCGGAUUAGAUACCCGGGUAGUCCCAGCUGUAAACGAUGCAGGCUAGGUGUUUGGGCGGCCACGUGCCGCUCUAGUGCCGCAAGGAAGCUGUUAAGCCUGCCGCCUGGGGAGUACGGCCGCAAGGCUGAAACUUAAAGGAAUUGGCGGGGGAGCACCACAAGGGGUGAAGCUUGCGGUUU
Molecule: ribosomal RNA, 429 nt
Filed under: uncultured archaeon
Lineage: Archaea
Description: bacterial SSU rRNA
Rfam family: Archaeal small subunit ribosomal RNA
Source: RNAcentral